GAGUUUGAUCUUGGCUCAGGAUGAACGCUGGCGGCAUGCCUAAGACAUGCAAGUCGAACGAAGUGGCCCAAUGAAGAUGGAGUGCUUGCACAAAGUCAGAUUUGGAUUCCCACUUAGUGGCGCAAGGGUGAGUAACACGUGGGUAAUCUGCCUUCGAGACUGGAAUAACAGUUAGAAAUGAUUGCUAAUGCCGGAUGAUAUACACGAGGUAAACUUGUGUAUUAAAAGAGGCCUUUAAAGCCUCACUUGAAGAUGAGCCCGCGCCGUAUUAGCUAGUUGGUAAGUAAUGGCUUACCAAGGCAACGAUG
This 308-nucleotide ribosomal RNA is filed under the name uncultured bacterium. RNAcentral describes it as "bacterial SSU rRNA". It matches the Rfam family "Bacterial small subunit ribosomal RNA", at positions 9 to 281 of the family's 1533-position model. The record is from RNAcentral.